UUAGUUCAACAGAAAAAAGGUACCUUUACAAAAAUGUAUGCUUCUUUCGAAGGCAGGUUGUGAACGGUGACCCCAUUUUUUUUUAUUAAGUAUAAGAUUUAAGUACGUUUAUCAUUUUUACAGAAACAAUUUUUCCUUGUAGAUGUUACAGAUACAUUCAUACAAAUGAUGUUGAAGAAACAAAGAGAAAAGGAACUUGGACUGUACCAUUUUGUUUGCAGCUUUUAAGAUAAAGGAGAUAAAUUUCCUCUGUUGACAAAAAAAUGGUUGAGGAGUCGGAAAGUUUGACUGAAGAUUAAGGAUAUCAAAUGAAGAUUAUUAUUGAAAAAAGAGAACUUUGAAGUACUAGGAGAAUUUGAAAACAUCUUGGUGAAAUAGUUUGACUGAUUAUGACAGAAAAUCAAAAGAA
This is a long non-coding RNA of Mytilus trossulus (common blue mussel), 409 nucleotides long. RefSeq lists it as uncharacterized. The transcript is spliced from 3 exons. The record is from RefSeq and is a predicted model, not a curated record. NCBI's taxonomy places the organism in Eukaryota, Metazoa, Mollusca, Bivalvia, Mytilida, Mytilidae.